Molecule: unclassified non-coding RNA, 323 nt
Filed under: Archaeorhizomyces sp.
Lineage: Eukaryota; Fungi; Ascomycota; Archaeorhizomycetes; Archaeorhizomycetales; Archaeorhizomycetaceae
Description: partial contains 5.8S ribosomal RNA, internal transcribed spacer 2, and large subunit ribosomal RNA
Source: RNAcentral
AACGCACCUUGCGCCCCUUGGCUAUUCCGAAGGGCAUGCCUGUUUGAGUAUCAUGAACACCUCAACCCUCGUGGUUCACCACGAUCGGCUUGGACUUUGGAGGUUUUGCUGGCCCCCCCCUUGUGCGGUCGGCUCCUCUCAAAUGAAUCGGCUUACCAGUGUUUGGUGGCGUUGCAGGUGUGAUAACUAUCUACGCUUGUGGCCGUCUGCCAUGCAACCUUCAGCGAUGAGGGUUCGCUGGGGCUCACAGAUGUCUUUCCCGAGUGAAGACAGCCUUUUGAUCGUUCGAUCUCAAAUCAGGUAGGACUACCCGCUGAACUUAA